ACUUUUAAUGGACGGCAGCAGUCCGAUGGUCUUAGGAGCCACAAUCU
RNAcentral lists this transfer RNA (47 nucleotides) under Agama impalearis. RNAcentral's name for it is "partial tRNA-Leu". Lineage: Eukaryota; Metazoa; Chordata; Lepidosauria; Squamata; Agamidae. The record is from RNAcentral.